RNAcentral lists this ribosomal RNA (492 nucleotides) under uncultured bacterium. RNAcentral describes it as "partial 16S ribosomal RNA". It matches the Rfam family "Bacterial small subunit ribosomal RNA", at positions 28 to 507 of the family's 1533-position model. The record is from RNAcentral.
GAUGAACGCUGGCGGCGUGCCUAAUACAUGCAAGUCGAGCGGACAGACGAGGAGAGUGCUCUUCUACCGGUAGCGACGGACGGGCGGGUGACACGUAGAUCACCAUCCUCUAUUUCUGGGAUGACUACGGGAAGAAGGAGCCAAUACCAGCGCAUAUGUUGAACCGGAUGGUUCAAUAGAGAAAGACGGUUUUCCCGUUACAUAGAGACGAAGCCGCAUUAGCUAGUUGGGGGGGUAAAGGCCCACCAAGGCGACGAUACGUAGCUGGUCUGAGAGGAUGAUCAGCCACACUGGAACUGAGACACGGUCCAGACUCCUACGGGAGGCAGCAGUAGGGAAUAUUCGGCAAUGGGCGCAAGCCUGACCGAGCCAUGCCGCGUGAGUGAAGAAGGUCUUCGGAUUGUAAAGCCCUGUUAUUGGGAAAGAAAAGAAGCGUAAGAAUAUCCCGCUGUUUUGACGGUACCCAAAGAGUAAGCCACGGCUAACUACGUG